Molecule: unclassified non-coding RNA, 378 nt
Filed under: plant metagenome
Description: partial contains 5.8S ribosomal RNA, internal transcribed spacer 2, and large subunit ribosomal RNA
Rfam family: 5.8S ribosomal RNA (bases 1-105)
Source: RNAcentral
GAAAUGCGAUAAGUAAUGUGAAUUGCAGAAUUCAGUGAAUCAUCGAAUCUUUGAAAGCACCUUGCGCUCCUUGGUAUUCCUUGGAGCAUGCCUGUUUGAGUAUCAUGAAAUCUUCAAAGUAAAUCUUUUGUUAACUCAAUUGGUUUCUACUUUGGUAUUGGAGGUCUUUGCAGCUUCACACCUGCUCCUCUUUGUUCAUUAGCUGGAUCUCAGUGUUAUGCUUGGUUCCACUCGGCGUGAUAAGUUAUCUAUCGCUGAGGACACUGUAAAAGGUGGCCAAGGUAAAUGCAGAUGAACCGCUUCUAAUAGUCCAUUGACUUGGACAAUACUUUUAUGAUCUGAUCUCAAAUCAGGUAGGACUACCCGCUGAACUUAAGC